GCGUCCCCAAGUCAGGCGUGAAAA
Molecule: ribosomal RNA, 24 nt
Filed under: Hesperocyparis forbesii
Lineage: Eukaryota; Viridiplantae; Streptophyta; Pinopsida; Cupressales; Cupressaceae
Description: partial 26S rRNA
Source: RNAcentral